GUGAGGAAUAUUGGUCAAUGGGCGAGAGCCUGAACCAGCCAAGUAGCGUGAAGGAUGAAGGUCCUAUGGAUUGUAAACUUCUUUUAUAGUAGAAUAAAGUGAUCCACGUGUGGAUUUUUGUAUGUAUACUAUGAAUAAGGAUCGGCUAACUCCGUGCCAGCAGCCGCGGUAAUACGGAGGAUCCGAGCGUUAUCCGGAUUUAUUGGGUUUAAAGGGUGCGUAGGCGGAAUAAUAAGUCAGUUGUGAAAGUUUGCGGCUCAACCGUAAAAUUGCAGUUGAUACUGUUAUUCUUGAGUGUACAUAAGGUAGGCGGAAUUCGUGGUGUAGCGGUGAAAUGCUUAGAUAUCACGAAGAACUCCAAUUGCGAAGGCAGCUUACCGGGGUACAACUGACGCUGAGGCACGAAAGUGUGGGUAUCAAACAGGAUUAGAUACCCGGGUAGUCC
Molecule: ribosomal RNA, 445 nt
Filed under: uncultured bacterium
Lineage: Bacteria
Description: partial 16S ribosomal RNA
Rfam family: Bacterial small subunit ribosomal RNA
Source: RNAcentral